GGUGAGCCAAGGGAAAUCCACACAUGUUCCGUCACAUGGCCCUGGGUGCCCCCGCAAUUCGUGGGGUUGGGUCAUGAGGGAACAUGGAGGCCCAAC
This 96-nucleotide small RNA is filed under the name Isoalcanivorax pacificus W11-5. Its description in RNAcentral is "Alcanivorax sp. W11-5 t44 RNA". It matches the Rfam family "t44 RNA". From Rfam's summary of the family: This family consists of a number of bacterial RNA genes of between 135 and 170 bases in length. The t44 gene is found between the map and rpsB genes in all species in the full alignment apart from Shigella flexneri. The function of this RNA is unknown. Lineage: Bacteria; Pseudomonadati; Pseudomonadota; Gammaproteobacteria; Oceanospirillales; Alcanivoracaceae. The record is from Rfam by way of RNAcentral.